RNAcentral lists this ribosomal RNA (430 nucleotides) under uncultured bacterium. Its description in RNAcentral is "bacterial SSU rRNA". It matches the Rfam family "Bacterial small subunit ribosomal RNA", at positions 29 to 507 of the family's 1533-position model. The record is from RNAcentral.
AACGAACGCUGGCGGCAGGCUUAACACAUGCAAGUCGAACGCCCCGCAAGGGGAGUGGCAGACGGGUGAGUAACGCGUGGGAAUCUACCCAGAACUUCGGAACAACUGAGGGAAACUUCAGCUAAUACCGGAUACGCCCUACGGGGGAAAGAUUUAUCGGUUCUGGAUGAGCCCGCGUUGGAUUAGCUAGUUGGUGAGGUAAAGGCUCACCAAGGCGACGAUCCAUAGCUGGUCUGAGAGGAUGAUCAGCCACACUGGGACUGAGACACGGCCCAGACUCCUACGGGAGGCAGCAGUGGGGAAUAUUGGACAAUGGGCGAAAGCCUGAUCCAGCCAUGCCGCGUGAGUGAUGAAGGCCUUAGGGUUGUAAAGCUCUUUCAGUAGGGAAGAUAAUGACGGUACCUACAGAAGAAGCCCGGCUAACUUCGUG